RNAcentral lists this transfer RNA (99 nucleotides) under Candidatus Woesearchaeota archaeon. RNAcentral's name for it is "tRNA-Thr". It matches the Rfam family "tRNA". From Rfam's summary of the family: Transfer RNA (tRNA) molecules are approximately 80 nucleotides in length. Their secondary structure includes four short double-helical elements and three loops (D, anti-codon, and T loops). The record is from RNAcentral. Lineage: Archaea; Nanobdellati; Candidatus Woesearchaeota.
GGGCCCGUAGCUUAGCGGUAGAGCACUGCCCUUGUAAGGCAGGGGUCUCGGGUUCAAAGACAUCCUUUCUUAAGGUGCUUGGAAAUCCCGACGGGUCCA